AAUAUUGGGCAAUGGACGCAAGUCUGACCCAGCCAUGCCGCGUGAAGGAUGAAGGCCCUCUGGGUUGUAAACUUCUUUUAUUUGGGAAGAAACCACUCUUUUCCAGGAGUGUUGACGGUACCAGAUGAAUAAGCACCGGCUAACUCCGUGCCAGCAGCCGCGGUAAUACGGAGGGUGCAAGCGUUAUCCGGAUUCACUGGGUUUAAAGGGUGCGUAGGCGGGCAGGUAAGUCAGUGGUGAAAUCUUCGAGCUUAACUCGGAAACUGCCGUUGAUACUAUCGGUCUUGAAUAUCGUUGAGGUAAGCGGAAUAUGUCAUGUAGCGGUGAAAUGCUUAGAUAUGACAUAGAACACCAAUUGCGAAGGCAGCUUGCUAAACGAUCAUUGACGCUGAUGCACGAAAGCGUGGGGAUCAAACAGG
RNAcentral lists this ribosomal RNA (419 nucleotides) under uncultured bacterium. Its description in RNAcentral is "partial 16S ribosomal RNA". It matches the Rfam family "Bacterial small subunit ribosomal RNA", at positions 360 to 776 of the family's 1533-position model. The record is from RNAcentral.